AGAGUUUGAUCCUGGCUCAGGAUGAACGCUGGCGGCGUGCCUAAUACAUGCAAGUCGAGCGAACGGACGAGAAGCUUGCUUCUCUGAUGUUAGCGGCGGACGGGUGAGUAACACGUGGAUAACCUACCUAUAAGACUGGGAUAACUUCGGGAAACCGUAGCUAAUACCGGAUAAUAUUUUGAACCGCAUGGUUCAAAAGUGAAAGACGGUCUUGCUGUCACUUAUAGAUGGAUCCGCGCUGCAUUAGCUAGUUGGUAAGGUAACGGCUUACCAAGGCAACGAUGCAUAGCCGACCUGAGAGGGUGAUCGGCCACACUGGAACUGAGACACGGUCCAGACUCCUACGGGAGGCAGCAGUAGGGAAUCUUCCGCAAUGGGCGAAAGCCUGACGGAGCAACGCCGCGUGAGUGAUGAAGGUCUUCGGAUCGUAAAACUCUGUUAUUAGGGAAGAACAUAUGUGUAAGUAACUGUGCACAUCUUGACGGUACCUAAUCAGAAAGCCACGGCUAACUACGUGCCAGCAGCCGCGGUAAUACGUAGGUGGCAAGCGUUAUCCGGAAUUAUUGGGCGUAAAGCGCGCGUAGGCGGUUUUUUAAGUCUGAUGUGAAAGCCCACGGCUCAACCGUGGAGGGGCAUUGGAAACUGGAAAACUUGAGUGCAGAAGAGGAAAGUGGAAUUCCAUGUGUAGCGGUGAAAUGCGCAGAGAUAUGGAGGAACACCAGUGGCGAAGGCGACUUUCUGGUCUGUAACUGACGCUGAUGUGCGAAAGCGUGGGGAUCAAACAGGAUUAGAUACCCUGGUAGUCCACGCCGUAAACGAUGAGUGCUAAGUGUUAGGGGGUUUCCGCCCCUUAGUGCUGCAGCUAACGCAUUAAGCACUCCGCCUGGGGAGUACGACCGCAAGGUUGAAACUCAAAGGAAUUGACGGGGACCCGCACAAGCGGUGGAGCAUGUGGUUUAAUUCGAAGCAACGCGAAGAACCUUACCAAAUCUUGACAUCCUUUGACAACUCUAGAGAUAGAGCCUUCCCCUUCGGGGGACAAAGUGACAGGUGGUGCAUGGUUGUCGUCAGCUCGUGUCGUGAGAUGUUGGGUUAAGUCCCGCAACGAGCGCAACCCUUAAGCUUAGUUGCCAUCAUUAAGUUGGGCACUCUAAGUUGACUGCCGGUGACAAACCGGAGGAAGGUGGGGAUGACGUCAAAUCAUCAUGCCCCUUAUGAUUUGGGCUACACACGUGCUACAAUGGACAAUACAAAGGGCAGCGAAACCGCGAGGUCAAGCAAAUCCCAUAAAGUUGUUCUCAGUUCGGAUUGUAGUCUGCAACUCGACUACAUGAAGCUGGAAUCGCUAGUAAUCGUAGAUCAGCAUGCUACGGUGAAUACGUUCCCGGGUCUUGUACACACCGCCCGUCACACCACGAGAGUUUGUAACACCCGAAGCCGGUGGAGUAACCUUUUAGGAGCUAGCCGUCGAAGGUGGGACAAAUGAUUGGGGUGAAGUCGUAACAAGGUAGCCGUAUCGGAAGGUGCGGCUGGAUCACCU
RNAcentral lists this ribosomal RNA (1540 nucleotides) under Staphylococcus aureus. Its description in RNAcentral is "16S ribosomal RNA". It matches the Rfam family "Bacterial small subunit ribosomal RNA". The record is from RNAcentral. Lineage: Bacteria; Bacillati; Bacillota; Bacilli; Caryophanales; Staphylococcaceae.